AUUCCAGCUCCAAUAGCGUAUAUUAAAGUUGUUGCAGUUAAAAAGCUCGUAGUUGGAUUUCUGGCAGGAGUGACCGGUCACGCACUCUGUGCGUGAACUUGUGUUGUCUCUGGCCAUCCUUGGGGAGAUCCUGUUUGGCAUUAAGUUGUCGGGCAGGGGAUACCCAUCGUUUACUGUGAAAAAAUUAGAGUGUUUAAAGCAGGCUUAUGCCGUUGAAUAUAUUAGCAUGGAAUAAUAAGAUAGGACUUCGGAACUAUUUUGUUGGUUUGCGUUACGAAGUAAUGAUUAAUAGGGACAGUUGGGGGUAUUCGUAUUUCGUUGUCAGAGGUGAAAUUCUUGGAUUUCCGAAAGACGAACUACUGCGAAAGCAUUUACCAAGGAUGUUUUCAUUA
Molecule: ribosomal RNA, 392 nt
Filed under: Thalassiosira sp.
Lineage: Eukaryota; Bacillariophyta; Thalassiosirophyceae; Thalassiosirales; Thalassiosiraceae
Description: partial small subunit ribosomal RNA
Rfam family: Eukaryotic small subunit ribosomal RNA
Source: RNAcentral